Synchiropus splendidus (mandarinfish) is the source of this 1186-nucleotide long non-coding RNA. RefSeq lists it as uncharacterized. The record is from RefSeq and is a predicted model, not a curated record. The transcript is spliced from 4 exons. NCBI's taxonomy places the organism in Eukaryota, Metazoa, Chordata, Actinopteri, Syngnathiformes, Callionymidae.
UCGAGUCAGAGGACGGUCUGGAUCCUCUGAGGAGACACGGCGACUUCAGUGGACCCUGCUGAGGCCAGCAGCCUGUGAGCAAAGAUCCGCCGUUGCAAGUCUCAGAGAGGACAUUACUCACUGGUCUAGUGGUUGAAAGAUGACGCUGUGGUCCAAGAAAUUCAAUGACCAGUGCAGAGGCAACGCUUCCCUGCUGCUGAAGGAGGUCCAGGUCUCUGACCGUGGACGCUACACAUGCUACACCAGCAACUCCAGGGGGCGACAGGAGUCAUCUGUCAACCUGGAAGUGGAAGCUCCAGUUACAAAGGUCUCCAUCGUUCAGGAAGGAGAUGUCAUCACCUGCAGCUCAGAGGGAAUCUACCCAGAGCCUCAGGUCACAUGGUCCAGGAACAAGCCUGCUGACAUCAGGAUAGAGAAGACGGAGCAGCUGCUCUACCACAGUGGAGCAGCAGGAGCGCCACACUGACCACUGCUGCAAGAACCACCAUCACUGAGGACCUCAAAUGGGAGCCAACCGUCAGGUCCCUCAUCAGGAAGGUCCAGCAGAGAAUGUUCUUCCUGAGGCAGCUACGAAAACUAGGACUGCCGACGAAGUUGCCGGUGGAGUUCUACACGGCCAUCAUCCAGUCCAUCCUCACCUCCUCUAUCACCGUCUGGUACAACAGUGCCACCUCAAGAGCAGACUGUAGCACAUCAUACGUUCUGCUGAUGGGUUGCAGCCUGCCACCUCUUGAGGACCUGUAUGUCUCCAGGACCCAGAGACGUGCAGGUGGGAUCAGAGCCGACCCUUCUCACCCUGGACAUGGACUGUUUGUUCCUCUUCCCUCUGGCAGGAGGCUACGGUCCAUCCAGACCAGAACCUCCCGUCACAGGAACAGCUUCUUCCCCUCGGCCGUCAGACUGUUGAAUUCAUGAACAGCCUUGUUGUUAUGUUAUUUUGUUUAAUUUUAUUCUUCUUCUUAUUAUUAUUAUUAUUUUUCAUUUUAUUUAUUUAUUUAUGUAUUUUUGUCAGCACUUUAUUCCCAAACACUGCCAGCUCCCCACUGGCCAUGGCAGUAAAUGACAUAAAUUCUGAUUCUGAUUCAGAGGAGACUGGUGAGUGUGUGUAUGCGGCGUGUCUGUCUGCGCGUGAGUGAGUGAGUGAGUGAGGAAAAUCAAACUAGGAAGCGACAGUCCACGCUGCUCU